CAGGCCACCUCGUCGGCGUCCGCCCGAGUCCCCGCCUCGCCGCUAACGCCACAACCACCGCGCACGGCCCCCUGACUCCGUCCAGUAUUGAUCGGGAGAGCCGGAGCGAGCUCUUCGGGGAGCAGCGAUGCGACCCUCCGGGACGGCCGGGGCAGCGCUCCUGGCGCUGCUGGCUGCGCUCUGCCCGGCGAGUCGGGCUCUGGAGGAAAAGAAAGUUCAAGUGCCAUUCAAUUUAUCCUGGCAAGAAGAGGAAGGCAUCAUCAAGACCUUAAUUUUCUAAUACGUCUGAUCUGAGAAGAAUGUGAAAGCUAUAAAAUUAAUUUUUGAUCAAUAACUACAGGCCUUUUGAGAGAGUGCCCUCCUAAUGAAUUGAGUACCUAUUUCUCCAUACACAGUGUCUAUCAUGACCUACAAACCCUUUUCCCAUGAGGUGUAACAGAGAGAGAUUACAGCCUUGGAACUGGAUGUCAGACUCUCCUGGUUUAAGACAAUAAGCCAUGACAUAGAGCCUGAAACCAACACCAUCUUCCGAGUGGUUCCAGAAACAUAUAGGGGACAAUG
Molecule: small RNA, 561 nt
Filed under: Pan troglodytes (chimpanzee)
Lineage: Eukaryota; Metazoa; Chordata; Mammalia; Primates; Hominidae
Description: processed transcript
Source: RNAcentral